CACCGCGGUUAUACGAGAGGCCCAAGUUGACAAACAACGGCGUAAAGCGUGGUUAAAGAACAAUCAAACACUAAAGCCGAACACCUUCAAGGCAGUUAUACGCAUCCGAAGGUUAGAAGCCCAACUACGAAAGUGGCUUUAAUUCCCCUUGAACCCACGAGAGCUACGGCA
This 171-nucleotide ribosomal RNA is filed under the name Bovitrigla acanthomoplate. RNAcentral's name for it is "partial 12S rRNA". The record is from RNAcentral. Lineage: Eukaryota; Metazoa; Chordata; Actinopteri; Perciformes; Triglidae.